RNAcentral lists this ribosomal RNA (256 nucleotides) under uncultured bacterium. RNAcentral describes it as "partial 16S ribosomal RNA". It matches the Rfam family "Bacterial small subunit ribosomal RNA", at positions 524 to 776 of the family's 1533-position model. The record is from RNAcentral.
UACGUAGGGGGGCAAGCGUUGUCCGGAUUUAUUGGGCGUAAAGAGCGUGUAGGCGGCCAGGUAGGUCAGCUGUGAAAACAUCGAGGCUCAACCUCGAGACGCCGGUUGAAACCAUCUGGCUAGAGUACGGGAAGAGGCGAGUGGAAUUCCUGGUGUAGCGGUGGAAUGCGCAGAUAUCAGGAGGAACACCAAUAGCGAAGGCAGCUCGCUGGGACGUUACUGACACUAAGGCGCGAAAGCGUGGGGAGCGAACAGG